This 253-nucleotide ribosomal RNA is filed under the name uncultured bacterium. Its description in RNAcentral is "partial 16S ribosomal RNA". It matches the Rfam family "Bacterial small subunit ribosomal RNA", at positions 524 to 776 of the family's 1533-position model. The record is from RNAcentral.
UACGUAGGGGGCAAGCGUUGUUCGGAAUUACUGGGCGUAAAGGGCGCGUAGGCGGUUCGAUAAGUCCCGUGUGAAAUCCCUCGGCUCAACUGAGGAAUGGCACGGGAAACUGACGGGCUUGAGUUCGGGAGAGGGAAGCGGAAUUCCGGGUGUAGCGGUGAAAUGCGUAGAUAUCCGGAGGAACACCGGUGGCGAAGGCGGCUUCCUGGACCGACACUGACGCUGAGGCGCGAAAGCUAGGGGAGCAAACGGG